AUAUUUUUGGACUGUGGGAGGAAACCGGAGUACCCGGAGAAAACCCACGUAUGCACAGAGAGAACAUGCAAACUCCAUGCAGAAAGAUCCCAGGCCCACCCUGGGAUUUGAACCGGGGAUCUUCUUUCUGUAAGGCAGAAGUGCUAACCACUACGCCACUGUGCAGCCUCAACAUGCAGAUGAUCAGAGACUCCCUCCCUACUGUCAGCGAAGAACAUCACAGCUGUGUGCCUCAGCAGCAGCUGGCCAAGAAGCGCCGCACACUGGGACCAGAUGAACUACAGAGGAUAGCUACAGAGGUUUGUGACACAAUCCUGGGCCAUGCAAAAGAGAGGUUUGCCUUCACCAAACACCUAAUCAGUGCUACACUGCUUCAAGGAGACAGAUUCCAGGAGUACGACAGCCAGUUCCCUGAAGCAGCGCUCAGCACCACCAUGGAG
This is a long non-coding RNA of Acanthochromis polyacanthus (spiny chromis), 440 nucleotides long. RefSeq lists it as uncharacterized. The record is from RefSeq and is a predicted model, not a curated record. The transcript has 3 exons. Lineage: Eukaryota; Metazoa; Chordata; Actinopteri; Pomacentridae.